GUGCAUAAAUGAUGUUGUAGGAAAAGAAUGAAAGAUUCAAAAAGAUGAGAGCAAGUCAAAUCAUGUUGCAUACAACAAGUAGAAAGGGUUUUGCUCGCUUAGAAGCUGAAAUGGUAAAAAAUUGUUAAAUUAAAGUUAUAUAUGUUUUAAAAAUUAUAAAUGUUAUACAAACUACCACACAUGAAAUGUAAAAUGAAGCAUGCUGAAAGUGAAGAUCCUGAUUUGGUAACGAGAGACAAUGUUUAUAUUCGAGGGCAUACGAGAAAAAAUGGUGAACCUAUUAAUGAAUCAGUUGGGGAAACAUUGGUAACAAUAUAGCUUUUAGUAAUUUUUUAUCAUUUAAAGUUUAUAUUAGGUAAUUUUAGCUCAUUAAUGUAUUUCCUCAUAUCAGAAUAAAAUAAAAGCAUAUUCAGAGACGAUUUUCUCUCCAAGCAAACACUCACUUGAAGGUGAUGGUGUUGCAAAAGUACUUGGUCCAGAACGUCCAGGAAAGGUAAGAGGUCUUGGUUUCGGUGCGACUCCUUCAAAGUAGAAUGCUUUGGUACACAAUCAUAACUUGCAAACUCAAGUUCAAGAGUUGAGGGAUGAAAUUAAAGAAUUAAAGGCUCUGUUUCAAGUGAAGAGUAAAAGUGCUGAACAAGAAGAUAAUGUAAGUGGAAAUCUAGAAUCAAUGAAUGUUAUUUUAAAUUACAUAUACUUUCUAUAUUCAAAAAAAUAAAUUGUACAACUGAAUAUUAAUUUUACAAUCUAGAGAUAGAAGCUUGAAUGGUCUAGAUAACCUUCAAAGUAAGAAGUGCAAAUUGUUAUCUUGGUUUGGGAAAGCUGGUAUUGUUGCAAAAGGUGAAAUCACAUCAACAAAUCCAAAUGAUCUAGUGCAUCAUGUACCCCUUGGUAAUGAAUGUUGGAGAGUUUGGGUUAAUGAAGUGAUCGAUAAUGUUAGCUUAUAUCGUCCCACGCGUGAGCUUUUUCUUUUGGAAGAUGCAUUAGGAAGUACAAUUGCAUGGCCAAGUAGGUAUAUCGAAGUGGAUUUGCUGUAAUCACAACGAAUGUAUGCUUAACUUCUUUUCUAUUUUAAUUCCAUUUACCUUUAUGUUCGGUCUCUAUUGAAAAUUGGGUUGUUUAAUAUAUUUUUGAUUUGGAUGCUUAUUAAUUAUAUCCUUAUUAUUUUGUGGUGUGCAGGGGAUCCAUAUUUUGUGGGGUAGCUAAAUUAUAGGUCAAAGAAGUGAAAUUUGAUAGGUUUAAUAAUUUUUUGUUAUAUGACGGAACCUCAAUAUCCACGGGCUUAUUAGUUGAAUGGCGAUUGGCCCAUACAAUAGUAGUCGAAAUUUUUUUAGAAUUGUUUAGAUGAAUUUCACUUUGGCAUAUUGUAUUGAACCGUAG
RNAcentral lists this long non-coding RNA (1380 nucleotides) under Olea europaea subsp. europaea. The record is from RNAcentral. Lineage: Eukaryota; Viridiplantae; Streptophyta; Magnoliopsida; Lamiales; Oleaceae.